This 380-nucleotide long non-coding RNA is filed under the name Malus domestica (apple). RNAcentral's name for it is "long non-coding RNA (MDOM_LNC016676)". The record is from RNAcentral. Lineage: Eukaryota; Viridiplantae; Streptophyta; Magnoliopsida; Rosales; Rosaceae.
CUUCGAGAGCCAGAUUUCCUUAGAUAAAGCUUGUGUGUAAUCUUCACACGUAACAUCAGCUUUCCAGAUACCACAUACCACUUUUUCAAAGUGCUCUGACAAAAUUAAAACACGUGAAGCUGGCAGCUCCCACUACAUUGCUGUGACCCAGAAGGGUAAAGGAAUAGCAUUACUACUUGUUAUUGGGAAAUCCCUAUAUACAUUGACCUCCCUCCUCAACGGACAGGCAAACCUGCAAAAAUGCUCAACCCUUUCUCGCAUUCGAAAAGGCACCCUCAACAUAACCUCUCGAAAUACUCAGCUUUAUUUCCCCCCCGACAAUACCUCAGCAAAUAAGCCACACCAAGAACAAGAGUAUCUCAUAUCAUCAGGGUCGAAAG